This 429-nucleotide ribosomal RNA is filed under the name Pseudomonadota bacterium. RNAcentral describes it as "Proteobacteria bacterium partial 16S ribosomal RNA". It matches the Rfam family "Bacterial small subunit ribosomal RNA", at positions 355 to 776 of the family's 1533-position model. Lineage: Bacteria; Pseudomonadati; Pseudomonadota. The record is from RNAcentral.
UGGGGAAUAUUGGACAAUGGGCGAAAGUCUGAUCCAGCCAUGCCGCGUGUGUGAAGAAGGUCUUCGGAUUGUAAAGCACUUUAAGGUGGGAGGAAGGGCAGUAAGCGAAUACCUUGCUGUUUUGACGUUACCGACAGAAUAAGCACCGGCUAACUCUGUGCCAGCAGCCGCGGUAAUACAGAGGGUGCAAGCGUUAAUCGGAAUUACUGGGCGUAAAGCGCGCGUAGGUGGUUCGUUAAGUUGAAUGUGAAAGCCCCGGGCUCAACCUGGGAACUGCAUCCAAAACUGGCGAGCUGGAGUAGGGCAGAGGGUGGUGGAAUUUCCUGUGUAGCAGUGAAAUGCGUAGAUAUAGGAAGGAACACCAGUGGCGAAGGCGACCACCUGGGCUCAUACUGACACUGAGGUGCGAAAGCGUGGGGAGCAAACAGG